AGAUACCGCCCCUAGUUCUAACCAUAAACGAUGCCAGCUAGCGAUCUGCCGACGUUUUUUUUGUAGACUCGGCAGGAAGCUUCCGGGAAACCAAAGCAUUUGGGUUCCAGGGGAAGUAUGGUUGCAAAGCUGAAACUUAAAGGAAUUGACGGAAGGGCACCACCAGGAGUGGAGCCUGUGGCUUAAUUUGACUCAACACGGGAAAUCUCACCAGGCCCGGACACUGGAAGGAUUGACAGAUUGAUAGCUCUUUCUUGAUUCGGUGGGUGGUGGUGCAUGGCCGUUCUUAGUUGGUGGAGUGAUUUGUCUGGUUAAUUCCGAUAACGAACGAGACUCUGUCCUGCUAAAUAGUGUCCGCCUCUCUUUUGGGCGGACAAUUCUUCUUAGAGGGACUGGCGACUCUCAGUCGCACGAGAUUGAGCAAUAACAGGUCUGUGAUGCCCUUAGAUGUUCUGGGCCGCACACGCGCUACACUGAAUAGAUCAACGUGUUCCCCCUAUCCGAGAGGAUCGGGUAAACCGCUGAACCCUAUUCGUGGUAGGGAUCGGGGCUUGCAAUUGUUCCCCGUAAACCAGGAAUUCCCAGUAGGCGCAAGUCAUAAGCUUGUGUCGAUUACGUCCCUGCCCUUUGUACACACCGCCCGUCGCUACUACCGAUUGAACGUUUUAGUGAGGUCCUCGGACUGACAGGUUGGCGGAUUACUCUGCCUGCCUGGCGGGAAGACGACCA
This 729-nucleotide ribosomal RNA is filed under the name Pseudochirella spectabilis. RNAcentral's name for it is "SSU rRNA". It matches the Rfam family "Eukaryotic small subunit ribosomal RNA", at positions 1010 to 1761 of the family's 1831-position model. The record is from RNAcentral. Lineage: Eukaryota; Metazoa; Arthropoda; Copepoda; Calanoida; Aetideidae.